This 7671-nucleotide long non-coding RNA is filed under the name Zostera marina. RNAcentral's name for it is "long non-coding RNA (ZMAR_LNC005839)". The record is from RNAcentral. Lineage: Eukaryota; Viridiplantae; Streptophyta; Magnoliopsida; Alismatales; Zosteraceae.
UUCAAGGUAUAAUAUUCCAAGGGGACAAAACACUAUUCAAGUUUGAAUUUAUACAAAGAUAAGAUUCUCCAACAAACUCUAUCCAAGAAAAACACUAUUCAAGAUAAGAUCAAAGACAAAGCUUGGAUUUAUGUGAGAAAUCAAGGAGCCAUCCAUUGAAGAUCCAAGGGUGGACAUUGAGUGGCCAAGGCUAUAAAUAGAAGGGUAAACCCCUCAUUUUCACUCACCACACUACAAACAAACUCAAGAGCUUUCACUCCACACUUGCCCACACGUUUUUGCCUCCAAGCUUCCAAGCUUUCAAGUGCUCAAGUGUCCUAGUUUUCCAAAGCUUCAAAAGCUCUCCAACUUCUUCUUCUAAUCUUCUUGUUCAUCUUUACAAGUAAAAAGUGUUGUUUGCUUUAAUAUUCCACUCCUCUAAUCACCUCUUGUGUGUGUCUACUUUGGUUGAGAGGGUUGUCUCAAUAGUACCAAAGUGUGAGAGAAGGUUUUUGAGCUCAACCAUAAAGCUCUAGUUUGGUUUUAUAGAGUUUCCGGGAAAACUCUUAGGUCGAGUCUACCUUGAAAGAUUUCAGAGGUUUUUAAGAGUUUCUUGAUACUCUAAGGUACUAACUUACCCGUAAAAGUUAGAGGUUCUUAAGAGUGCCCUUGAUACUCUAAGGUGUGAGUCUACCCGUAAAAGACUGGUUCCUAAGCGAAGUAGCCUUAAAGCUUAGAGAGGUUCUUAAGAGUUUCCUUGAUACUCUAAGGUUUUGCCAUAAACUUUAGGCGAGUGAAUUCCGACAGUUGGUCGGGACUGGACUAGCUCUUGUUUGGGUGAACCAGUAUAAAUCUCUUGUGUUGUUUUUGUUAACUCUAGUUUUUAUCUUUCAUCUAAAAACAACCAAACAACACUUAAUUGAAAAGGAUCCCUCUUUCAGUUAUCUGGUCAAAUACAGAGGUUGACUACUUUACGUAGAUCCCUCAUCCAGUUAUCUGGUCAACUAUCUGAGGUUUUAUUCAUUGCUUUAAAUCUUUAUUCAUAUAUUUGUUCAAGCAUUUAUUUAUCAUAUAUAUAUCCAGUUAUCUGGUCAUUUACUUGUUUAUCAAUAUAUCCAGUUAUCUGGUCAUUUACUUGUUUAUCAAUAUAUCCAGUUAUCUGGUCAUUUACUCUAUAAUAUAACUUGUGCUUAUAAUAUAACUUAGUAUUCAUAUACUAUAGUUGUUUAUAAAACACCAUCUGAAAAGUUGACUACGUAUUCAUAUACUGUAGUAAACUUCAAGAGCAAAAGGCAAGUCCAAUACAUUUAAUAUUAUAAGAUAUAAUAUUAUAUUCUUUAAAAUUAUAUAAUAGUAUUGUAUUGCUAACAAUAUUAUACUAUUAUUAUUAUACAACCAUUUGUGUACUUAAGUGUGUGCAGGUAAUUCCGCUAUUAACUUGCAUAAAUCGAAAAGAGGCUAUUAUCCCCCCUUAUAGCCUCGGAUCUCGAUCCAACAAGUGGUAUCAGAGCCAAGUACCAUUAAAGUUUGACUAACAUCUUACAACAACAACUAUGGCACCAAAUGGUGAAUUCAACACGGGUCUUGCGUCAAACCAACCUCCCAGGUUCGAUGGAGUAAAGUAUGACUUCUGGAAGAACAAGAUGAAGUUAUACUUGAAGUCAAUCAACAAUGGAGUAUGGAAGAUCAUAUUAGAGGAUUAUGAAAUUCCAACAAGCAAUGAAGAGACUUGGGAAGAAAUGGACAUCCUUAAGGAAAACAACAACUCAAGAGCAUUGAAUGCUCUAUAUGGAGCACUCAAUGAAUCUGAGUACAGCAGAAUUCGAUGCUUGGAUACAGCUCACAAGGUAAUAUAGAUAGAUCAUUUCUUAGAGAUGUUUACUUAGUUAAUGGCCUUAAACAUAAUCUUAUCAGCAUAAGUCAAUUAUGUGAUAAUGAUUGCACAGUUAAAUUUGAAAAACAUCUAUGCUCAAUCAUUAACUCCAAGGGAGUUAUAAUUGCUAAAGGAUAUAGGCAAACACAUGCUUAUUCCAUAACCUUUNNNNNNNNNNNNNNNNNNNNNNNNNNNNNNNNNNNNNNNNNNNNNNNNNNNNNNNNNNNNNNNNNNNNNNNNNNNNNNNNNNNNNNNNNNNNNNNNNNNNUGAUGAAAAGACUUUAUGGCAUAGAAGGUUAGGUCACACCAGUUAUUCUCGAUUAUCCAAACUAUCAAAAGAAGAACUGGUAACUGGACUGCCUAAAAUAGCAUAUGAGAAAAGUAAUCUCUGUGAUGCUUGUCAAAAGGGGAAACAGCAUAAAAGCUCAUUGAAAUCCCUUACAGAUAUUACUACGUCCAGACCUUUGGAACUUCUACACAUGGACUUAUUUGGGCCAACCCAAACCCAAAGUCUUGGCGGUAAAAGGUUUACGUAUGUAAUAGUAGAUGAUUACUCAAGAUUUACUUGGGUUUUCUUCUUACGAAAUAAAAGUGACUCAUUCAACGAGUUCUCAUCAUUUUGUACACGUGUACAAAAUGAGAAGGAUGUCUUCAUAAAAAGAAUCAGAAGUGAUCAUGGAGGAGAAUUCGAGAACUCUGAGUUUGAAGAAUUUUGCAAAACUCAUGGAAUAAAACAUGAAUUUUCUUUUCCCCAAGCACCCCCUCAGAAUGGAGUUGUUGAAAGGAAAANNNNNNNNNNNNNNNNNNNNNNNNNNNNNNNNNNNNNNNNNNNNNNNNNNNNNNNNNNNNNNNNNNNNNNNNNNNNNNNNNNNNNNNNNNNNNNNNNNNNNNNNNNNNNNNNNNNNNNNNNNNNNNNNNNNNNNNNNNNNNNNNNNNNNNNNNNNNNNNNNNNNNNNNNNNNNNNNNNNNNNNNNNNNNNNNNNNNNNNNNNNNNNNNNNNNNNNNNNNNNNNNNNNNNNNNNNNNNNNNNNNNNNNNNNNNNNNNNNNNNNGGUAGGAUACUCUAGAAAAAGCAAAGCCUACAAAAUUCUUCUCAAAGAAAAACAAAUAAUGAUCGAAUCAUUACACGUUGACUUUGAUGAAUCCACUCAGACAACCAUUGCAGAAGAAGAUGAAAUAGUUCCAGAACCAGAAAUCAUCAUUCCAACUGAAGAAACUACCAAUGUCGAAAUCGAAGUCCUUGAGCCUCCAUCCAACAGGUUGCUCAGGAACCCACAUUCCACUGAUCAAAUCAUUGGUGACCAUCAAGCUGGUGUUAAAAUCAGAUCAUCCAUUCAAGGAAACAAUGUUCUUGACUGUUUUGUCUCUCAAAUUGAGCCCAAGAAAGUUGAUGAAGCCCUCGACGACAACUACUGGAUUCAAGCUAUGCAAGAAGAACUCAACCAAUUUGAGAGAAAUGAUGUAUGAGAACUAGUUCCAAAACCAAAAGAUACAUCAAUCAUUGGGACAAGAUGGGUAUUCAGAAACAAGCUGGACGAAGAUGGAACUAUAGUCAGAAACAAAGCUAGACUGGUUGCGCAAGGAUACAAUCAACAAGAAGGAAUUGAUUAUGAUGAAACCUUUGCACCAGUAGCUAGACUAGAGUCUAUCAGAAUGCUCCUAUCCUUUGCAUGUUACAAAGAUUUCAAAUUAUAUCAAAUGGAUGUAAAGAGUGCAUUCUUGAAUGGAAUAGUUAAUGAACAAGUAUAUGUUAGACAACCCCCCGGUUUCGAAGAUUACAAAAACCCUGAUCAUGUCCUUAAACUUAAGAAAGCCCUCUAUGGUCUGAAACAAGCACCCCGAGCUUGGUAUGAAAGACUAAGAAACUUUCUCAUUUCUCAGGAAUUUAGAAUGGGGAGUAUAGAUAAUACAUUGUUCAUUAAAAAUGUCAAAAGUGACAUUAUUCUAAUUCAAAUCUAUGUUGAUGACAUUAUAUUUGAAUCAACCGAUGAUACUCUAUGUAAGAAAUUUUCCAAACAAAUGGAAGAUGAAUUUGAAAUGAGUAUGAUGGGAGAGUUGACUUUUUUCUUAAGUCUACAAGUCAAACAGAAGGAGAAUGGAAUAUUCCUAAGUCAAGUCAAAUAUGCUAAGGAAUUGAUAAAGAAAUUUGACUUGGCUGAAUCUAAAUCUAUGCCAACUCCGAUGAGUUCAACACUUAAAUUGGAUAAAGAUGUUGAAGGUCAAUCAGUAGACAUUAAGAAAUACAGAGGAAUGAUUGAAUCACUGCUAUACCUAACAGCCAGCAGACCAGACAUCAUGUUUGCAGUCUGCUUAUGUGCCAGAUUCCAAUCAGACCCAAAAGAGUCACAUCUCAAAGCGGUUAAAAGAAUAAUCAGGUAUAUCAAAGGAACAAUUACACUUGGAUUAUUCUACCCUAAGGAAAAAUCAUUCACACUGACAGUAUACUGUGAUAUUGACUUUGGUGGAUGUAAGACUGACAGAAAAAGCACUAGUGGAACAUGCUUUCUGUUGGGAAGCUCACUCGUAGCAUGGUCAUGUAAAAAGCAAAAUAGUAUUGCUUUAUCCACAACUGAAGCAGAAUAUAUGGCAGCAUCUAAUGCAUGCACUCAAAUUUUGUGGAUGAAACAAACAUUAUCCGACUACGAUAUAGCUUUAGAAACAGUAGCUCUUAAAUGUGACAACAAGAGUACAAUUUGUUUAUCAAAAAACUCUGUGUUACAUUCAAGAUCUAAACACAUUGAUGUCAGACAUCAUUUCCUUAGAGAUCAUGUAGAAAAAAAAAAUGUCUAGAAUAUAUUUCUACUGAAGAUCAAAUGGCUGACAUCAUCACUAAACCCUUAGACCAAGUUCAUUCAAAAAUCAGAAGAUCUAUGGGUAUAUGUGAGCUUAGUGAAAUUUGAUUAGUUAUGAGUUAAUGCAUCUCAAGCUUUAGUAUUCUUCACCUGAAUAUCUUUAUACUUAUAACCUUGAUCAUAAUCACAUUAAAAUGAAUAUACGUAUGCAUGAAUUUACAAAUCUAAGAUUUAAAUGACUAAGUAUAUACAUAUAAUUCAUCAUAUGCAUGCAUAAAAUGAAGAGCUUAACUUGACUAAAUGACUAUCAUAUAUAUCAAUAGAAUCAUGUUAAUACAUGCCUACAUGUUCACCAUGCUACUAGAAACUACAUGAUUCAAAUAACUAUCUGAUAAAUGCAUGUCUGGCAAAGUAAAUAUUGCAAUAUUAUGCAUGUACACGUAUGUGGUCUUUAAAAAUAUAAGAUACAUGGUUUGAGUUUAGCAUGAUACUAUGAUUUAUCUUAUACAUGCAUGCUAAUAUUUAUUUAUGAAUCUUAUGACAUGCAUGAAUCUAUGAAUUAUAUACAUGCAUAAUGAUAUGAAAUACUUAAAUACAUGAUGAUCAAAACAGCUAAUUUUGACUUAUGUAUAUAACUGUUUAAAUCAUGCAUAUUCCAUGUCAUCACAUACAUAUAAUUGAGAAAAUUAUAAGAUUAAUUCUAUGUUGCACACAUACUACAUGAGAUUAUUUCCUACUUUGAGAAAAAUCAACAUCACAUGGUAUUGGUAAUCCAAACCUUACCUUAUGGCAUUGAGAAUCGUCGUCUGCACAUUCUGCAACCUCGAUGCUGCAACUUCAUCCAGCAAACCUGUCGCAACUAGUCACUCACGACAGCUAGGAGCAUGGACUAUCGUGCAUAGUGCAAAGAAUGCGUUGAAGACCACCAAAAGGUAUGUUUUAAAUUAAAUAUUAUUCUGGAUACAAGCCACUAAAAUACAAGCCUUGCUAAGAUCCUAGCUAGUUCUUAGAUGAUAGUUUCAAAAUCUCAUUACUUGUUAAACCUAACAAGUCAUGUCAGUACAUGGGAAAUAAAAAAACUCUCUUUUGAGAAGAAGACUACAAGAUAAAACGAUUUUUCAUGGCUUUGUCAAACCAAGAAAUUCUUGGAAACUAAAACAUAAAUUAUUUUUGAAGUUUCUAAGUUUAAAAUGAUUCACUGAAACUUAAGGAUUAAGAUGAUAUUUUUUUUCCAGUGAAUAUAGAGUUAUGUGAAACUUCAAGGACUUAAACAUAAAUCGUUUAUGAAGUUUUUAAGUUUUAAAUAGAUUCACUAAAACUUAAGGGUCAAAAUGAUAUCUUUACAGUGAAUAAAUAUCUAGUUAAAAUUUCAGGGACUUAAAAUUAAUAUUUACAUGAAGUUUUCAAAUUAAAAAUUGCUUAGAAAUAGUUAAUACUUCCAAGGUUUAAAUGAAAUAUUUCAAGUAUUAAUCUAAGUAUUUAUCAUAACUUUAAAGGGCUUAAAUAAAAUUUUGUUUUAAGUGAAGUUUUACUACCAAGGCUUUAAGGACUGAAAUGAAAAUUUUAAAUCUUUUAAAACUUAGUGAAUAUUUACAUGAUUAUAUUUGUCACUAAGACAUAGAUUUUAAAAUUUUAAAUGCUCAAUUUCUUCUUAAAGCAAUUAGUGAAUAUUAUGGAUUUAUACAUAUCAUUUACUAAUAUCUUAUGGAUUAUAACAUUAUAAAAUCUUUAAUCCAUACAUGUUAAGAUUAUCUUCAUCCAUAACACACACAUGGAUUAUUAUUCAUUGCAUGAUCUUAGCACAAGGCAAUUUAAAUUAUCAUAUCAUACUUGCCUUAUAAUGUAUAUCAAAAUUGGCUUCAAUCCAAUAUUUUAUCAAUGAGCAUAAAUUACAUGUCAUUUCUCCUUUAUGAUUGACUAACACUCUUAUAAACAAGAAGUCACAUUUGGUCAACCACACAAAUCGAAUUUGUGAUCAAAGAUCAAUAAGGUAUGAAAUUUUAUUUUCUCCACAAAUUAGAUAUGUCCUAUCAUUAAGGGGGAGAUACUUCACAUGUAUCUAUUUUUAACUUUGUCGAUACCUUAUUGUUUUAAGGGGGAGAAAUCAUGCAUGAUCCACUGCUUUUAAAUUGAAUAUUAUGGGUCAAUAAUUCAGGGGUAGCAUGCUCAUAAGGGUAUAAUAGAAUAUUGACUAGACAUGAGUUAAAACAUAUAUGCCAUCGACAAAGGAGGAGAAUGUAAAAUCAAAAUUGUCGACAUAGGAUUAUAUUUUAAUCAGGUCAAUUUAAACCCUAAUUACACUAUUAAUCAAUAGGGGGUAAAUAAGUCAAUCGAUAUUAAACCUAACUCUAGUUAAUUAAUUAAUCAUUUGAGUUAAGGGUUUAAGUCAAAGUUAAAAGUCAAAUAGGGAGAAUUGCAUUUUCACCUUGAAUAUUAUUAUUUGGAAUAAUUGCAUUUUCACCUUGAAUAUUAUUAUUUGGAAUAACACUUUAUUCAAGGUAUAAUAUUUUAAGGGGACAAAACACUAUUCAAGUUUGAAUUUAUACAAAGAUAAGAUUCUCCAACAAACUCUAUCCAAGAAAAGCACUAUUCAAGAUAAUAUCAAAGACAAAGCUUGGAUUUAUGUGAGAAAUCAAGGAGCCAUCCAUUGAAGAUCCAAGGGUGGACAUUGAGUGGCCAAGGCUAUAAAUAGAAGGGUAAACCCCUCAUUUUCACUCACCACACUACAAGCAAACUCAAGAGCUUUCACUCCAAACUUGCCCACACGUUUUUGCCUCCAAUCUUCCAAGCUUUCAAGUGCUCAAGUGUCCUAGCUUUCCAAAGCUUCAAAAGCUCUCCAACUUCUUCUUCUAAUCUUCUUGUUCAUCUUUACAAGUAAGAAGUGUUGUUUGCUUUAAUAUUCCACUCCUCUAAUCACCUCUUGUGUGUGUCCAUUUUGGUUGAGAGGGUUGUCUCAAUAGUACCAAAGUGUGAGAGAAGGUUUUUGAGCUCAACCAUAAAGAUCUAGUUUGGUUUUAUAGAAUUUCCU